This 254-nucleotide ribosomal RNA is filed under the name uncultured bacterium. RNAcentral's name for it is "partial 16S ribosomal RNA". It matches the Rfam family "Bacterial small subunit ribosomal RNA", at positions 524 to 776 of the family's 1533-position model. The record is from RNAcentral.
UACGUAGGGGGCAAGCGUUGUCCGGAUUUAUUGGGCGUAAAGGGUGCGUAGGCGGGUCUUUUAAGUCAGGGGUGAAAUCCUGGAGCUCAACUCCAGAACUGCCUUUGAUACUGAAGAUCUUGAGUCCGGGAGAGGUGAGUGGAACUGCGAGUGUAGAGGUGAAAUUCGUAGAUAUUCGCAAGAACACCAGUGGCGAAGGCGGCUACCUGGACCGGUACUGACGCUGAGGCGCGAAAGCGUGGGUAGCAAACAGG